This is a non-coding RNA of Poecilia reticulata (guppy), 721 nucleotides long. The record is from RefSeq and is a predicted model, not a curated record. NCBI's taxonomy places the organism in Eukaryota, Metazoa, Chordata, Actinopteri, Cyprinodontiformes, Poeciliidae.
CCAACUGCGCCACUGUGCAGCCAUGUUUAAUUUUCACGUUCCAUAAAUUAUUUUAUCCAUUUUUAGCUUCAUUUUGAGAAGAUUGUCAGAUGCUGAUCAGGUUUUGCUUGUUUCUGCCUGAAAAGCCAACAAGCCGAUCCCAGAUCUGGAGAGCCAGGAGGAGGAAGGCGGUGAGGAAGAGGAGCAGCAGCCCAGCGGUGAGGCGGCUGAGAGUCGCAGUCGACCUGGGARCCUCUCUGAUGAAGGGGCGGAGCCAACAACGAMCUUCAGGCUAAACCAGGAACACCUGAAGGACAAACAUUAUGGGAAACCACCAAGGAAGCGACUCGCCGUGUCCAAGUUCUACAAUCUGAGAGCGAUGAUCACGGAGCUGCUGAGACGGGCGGCCAGAGACGUGCUGGCGGCGGUGGAGGGGACCGCGGCCUGGAACCAGGAGGACGAGGCGAGCUUCGGGCGGGACGUCGACGGCCAGAGGAGGCAGCUGGAGCUGCUGCUGGUCAGCCACCAGCAGGCAGGUCAGUGGAAACCAGUCRCAGCUGGUGGGUUUACUGGUUCAGAGCAGCUGGGAUUCUGAUCAUCACUGAGUCCGAGAGGAACUGGCUACAUUUACUUCACUUGCUUUUUGGAGAAAACAUGCAUGAUAGGUAUUUUUCUAGAACCUACAUAAAAGAACCACAGACAACGUGUAUGAAUUUUAUAGCCAAGCUUUUGCAAAAGGAGA